RNAcentral lists this ribosomal RNA (741 nucleotides) under Truncocolumella sp. LL-2014. RNAcentral describes it as "eukaryotic LSU rRNA". The record is from RNAcentral. Lineage: Eukaryota; Fungi; Basidiomycota; Agaricomycetes; Boletales; Truncocolumellaceae.
AUCGUAACAAGGUUUCCGUAGGUGAACCUGCGGAAGGAUCAUUAACGAAUAUAAUCCGUCGAGGGGAAUGGAGGGGGAGCUGUGGCUGGCCUUUUGCGAGGCAUGUGCACGCUUUUCUUUCGGACUYUUCGUCGUCUUUCAAACCAACCUGUGCACCUAAUGUAGGAUGCCUUCUCCUUCGGGAGGGGGGGGGACCUAUGUAUUCAUAUCAUCUUCGUGUAGAAAGUCUCARAAUGUUUUUUUAUACUACCGUCGAGUCGUGACUUCUAGGAGACGCGAAUCUUCGGGACAAAAGUUAUUACAACUUUCAGCAAUGGAUCUCUUGGCUCUCGCAUCGAUGAAGAACGCAGCGAAUCGCGAUAUGUAAUGUGAAUUGCAGAUCUACAGUGAAUCAUCGAAUCUUUGAACGCACCUUGCGCUCCUCGGUGUUCCGAGGAGCAUGCCUGUUUGAGCGUCAGUAAAUUCUCAACCCCUCUCGAUUUGCUUCGAGAGGGUGCUUGGAUUGUGGGGGCUGCCGGAGACUUGGAUUUAGUAGUCCAGGACUUGGGCUCUCCUGAAAUGCAUCGGCUUGCGGUCGAUUUUUGACUUUGCGUGACAAGGCUUUCGGCGUGAUAAUGAUCGCCGUUCGCUGAAGCGCAUGAAUGAAGAUCCCGUGCCUCUAAUAAGUCGACUGGUACCUCUCUUCGGAGAGCAAAGGUCUUCCUUCUUGACAUUUGACCUCAAAUCAGGCAGGACUACCCG